This 478-nucleotide ribosomal RNA is filed under the name uncultured organism. RNAcentral describes it as "partial 16S ribosomal RNA". It matches the Rfam family "Bacterial small subunit ribosomal RNA", at positions 331 to 801 of the family's 1533-position model. The record is from RNAcentral.
GUACACUCCUACGGGAGGCAGCAGUAGGGAAUCUUCCACAAUGGGUGCAAACCUGAUGGAGCAAUGCCGCGUGAGUGAAGAAGGUCUUCGGAUCGUAAAGCUCUGUUGUUAGAGAAGAACACGUGCUAGGUAACUACUAGCGCCUUGACGGUAUCUAACCAGAAAGUCACGGCUAACUACGUGCCAGCAGCCGCGGUAAUACGUAGGUGACAAGCGUUGUCCGGAUUUAUUGGGCGUAAAGGGAGCGCAGGCGGUCUGUUUAGUCUAAUGUGAAAGCCCACGGCUUAACCGUGGAACGGCAUUGGAAACUGACAGACUUGAAUGUAGAAGAGGAAAAUGGAAUUCCAAGUGUAGCGGUGGAAUGCGUAGAUAUUUGGAGGAACACCAGUGGCGAAGGCGAUUUUCUGGUCUAACAUUGACGCUGAGGCUCGAAAGCGUGGGGAGCGAACAGGAUUAGAUACCCGUGUAGUCCCAUGAU